GACAGUCUCAGUUCGGAUUGAAGGCUGAAAUUCGCCUUCAUGAAGCCGGAAUUGCUAGUAAUGGCAGGUCAGCAUACUGCCGUGAAUACGUUCCCGGGCCUUGUACACACCGCCCGUCACACCAUGAGAGUUGGGAAUACCCGAAGCCUGUGAGCUAACUUUUAGAGGCAGCAGUCGAAGGUAGAAUCAAUGAUUGGGGUGAAGUCGUAACAAGGUAAC
This 219-nucleotide ribosomal RNA is filed under the name uncultured bacterium. Its description in RNAcentral is "partial 16S ribosomal RNA". It matches the Rfam family "Bacterial small subunit ribosomal RNA", at positions 1281 to 1500 of the family's 1533-position model. The record is from RNAcentral.